This is a long non-coding RNA of Plutella xylostella (diamondback moth), 293 nucleotides long. RefSeq lists it as uncharacterized. The record is from RefSeq and is a predicted model, not a curated record. Lineage: Eukaryota; Metazoa; Arthropoda; Insecta; Lepidoptera; Plutellidae.
UUGGGUAUAAAAGGAAGUUGUUCGCACAAUUAAUAUUAAUUUUACUUAAAAUUUACUAUUGUUAAACUCAUUGCUUUAAAAAGAACUUUGAAAAUGAAGUUAUUUCAUUUAUUCUCCGCUGUAGUACUGAUUUGCUGUCUUUUGAUUGAAGCGAAGUGUGAUAAAGAAGCAGGAGGAGGAGGUAAGUACAUAUUUACAGGGCAACACAAAUACAUGUGGGUUGAGCAAGACUUAACAACAGUACUGAAAGACUGCGUUUAUCAUUAGACAUGAUGAAACAAAACAAGGCCCGU